RNAcentral lists this ribosomal RNA (391 nucleotides) under Salmonella enterica. RNAcentral's name for it is "partial 23S ribosomal RNA". Lineage: Bacteria; Pseudomonadati; Pseudomonadota; Gammaproteobacteria; Enterobacterales; Enterobacteriaceae. The record is from RNAcentral.
GGUUAAGCGACUAAGCGUACACGGUGGAUGCCCUGGCAGUCAGAGGCGAUGAAGGGCGUGCUAAUCUGCGAUAAGCGCCGGUAAGGUGAUAUGAACCGUUAUAACCGGCGAUACCCGAAUGGGGAAACCCAGUGUGAYUCGUCACACUAUCAUUAACUGAAUCCAUAGGUUAAUGAGGCGAACCGGGGGAACUGAAACAUCUAAGUACCCCGAGGAAAAGAAAUCAACCGAGAUUCCCCCAGUAGCGGCGAGCGAACGGGGAGGAGCCCAGAGCCUGAAUCAGCAUGUGUGUUAGUGGAAGCGUCUGGAAAGGCGCGCGAUACAGGGUGACAGCCCCGUACACAAAAGCGCAUGUGCUGUGAGCUCGAUGAGUAGGGCGGGACACGUGGUA